This 253-nucleotide ribosomal RNA is filed under the name uncultured bacterium. Its description in RNAcentral is "partial 16S ribosomal RNA". It matches the Rfam family "Bacterial small subunit ribosomal RNA", at positions 524 to 776 of the family's 1533-position model. The record is from RNAcentral.
UACGUAGGCAGCAAGCGUUGUUCGGAGUUACUGGGCGUAAAGGGUGCGUAGGCGGCUUUUUAAGUCUGGUGUGAAAUCUCCCGGCUCAACUGGGAGGGUGCGCCGGAUACUGAGGGGCUAGGGUGUGGGAGAGGAAAGUGGAAUUCCUGGUGUAGCGGUGAAAUGCGUAGAUAUCAGGAGGAACACCGGUGGUGUAAACGGCUUUCUGGACCAUAACUGACGCUGAGGCACGAAAGCGUGGGUAGCAAACAGG